RNAcentral lists this long non-coding RNA (2055 nucleotides) under Marmota monax (woodchuck). Lineage: Eukaryota; Metazoa; Chordata; Mammalia; Rodentia; Sciuridae. The record is from RNAcentral.
GGCAAUUAGACCCCCUGCCUAGACGGCACUUCUUUUCAUGUUCCUGAUGUUUUAACCAGAAACAUGGUUUUGCCCUGAGCUGUGCUCCUGGGCGGCGGCACCCCUGGGGGCUCAGGAAGGCGGGUGUUUUUAACAGUAGGUCCCUUGUGACCAUGGCCCCACUUUGGCCCCAUUUGGUAGUUCCAGAAGAACAACGAGGCUACUGGAGAAAGUGACAGCCCAACACACAGAGGACACGUUAGGAAACAAAGGAAAAGAUGUCCUUCAUCAAAAUCACAAACUUUUAUAAAGAACACUGUCACCAGAAUGAAAGGCCAUACACAAGAGGCAGAAAAUAUUGCAGCUCAUAUAUCUGAUAACAAACUGGUAUCCAGAAUAUAUAAAGAACUAUGGCAAUUCAACAACAAUGAUGGUCCACACCACUAGUUGGGGAAAGGCAGAUCAAACCAGAGUGCGGGGAAGGCACAGUGGGGCAGCUGCUAUGGUGACCAGGAUGGCAAUGGCCAAAAAAGAAACCAAAUAUCCAUAUGAUGUAGCAAUCCAACUUCUGAGUACAUAAUCCAAAGAAGUAAAAGCAGGAACCAGCAUAGACACUGAACACCCACAGCCACAGCAGUGUUGCUCACAAUAGCCAAAUGGUGGAAGCACUCAAGUGUCAGUCAACAGACAGAAAAUGUGUAAACAGUGGAAUAUUAUUCAGCCAUAAAAAGGACAGAAAUUUUGACCCACACCGCAGAAUGACCAAGUCUUGAAGACACUAUGCUAAGUGAAGUAAGCAAGAUGCCAAAGGACAAAUACUGUAUGAUUCCAUUUAUAUAAGAGUUGCCUACAGCAGUAAAGCUCCUGGAGGGUGGUGGGUCCCAGGGUUGGAAUGGGAAGGAGAGUCACUGCUUACUGCCUACAGAGUUUCAGUUGAGAAGACGCAAAGAUGGCGGAGGUGAUGGCUGUGCGAUGCGAGUGUGCUCACUACCAUCGAGCCAUUUGCUUGAAAAUGGCUAAAAUGGAACAUUCCAUGUUAUGUGUAUUUUACCACAAUUUUAAAAAAAAAAAAGAAUUGUCCACCCAGCAACCAAACUGCAGGCUCCCCCUUGAGUUCCUGCUUAUCUUUAUCUGAUAAACUCCUAUUUCUGAUAAGGAACCGACACAUUCAAGUUGGUGUCUGUGGCUGGUUGGUGACAGAAUGGCCCCUCAGCCCCCUCUGGACCGCACCCUUACCAUGUGACCUCGCGAGGAGUCACCCCGGGGUCUGGGCUGGCCUCGUGAGUGCCUCCCAGCAGCACCGGGUUGUGGGAUGAGGGCGUCAGCUUUGAGCCUAGCAUUCAAGAGGGUUGGUGAUUCUGCUCACUGUCUUGGAACCCUGUCCCUGUCAUUACGGCAUGAUAGAAGUGGCCUGCCAGAGGGGGAGACAGGCCAUCCAGACCAGCCUCCCGCAAGCUGGCCUUUGGCAGGGCAGAGUCCAGCCGAGAUCAGCAGAGCUUGUGGGGAGAACACACACUGGCUCACAGCCCGGCCGACCCUGUCCCACCAGAAAGUGCCUAGUUACCUGGAAACUCAAGAGCAGCAGCAAGCGCCUGAGACGUAAGCCCUGCUGGGCGUUGUUUGUUACACAGCAAGCGCUGACUGCUACGACAUAUUUUCUAUCCAUUUCCUCUUUAUCUUCACCACUGUCAGUAACUACUCGGGGCCUUGGUGAACUUAUGCACAUCUCUGUAUAAAUUACUUCUUCUUGUGUGCCUUCAGUUUACUUUUUAUCUUCUUGAAUUAGAAGCAUGGAACAUUGAGUUUAGCCUGUUUAUUAUAUGACUCCUCCAUGUGUGUAUUUUGCCUAGUUGGUUAGAUAAUACCCUACUAGAUUUUAGUGAAGUCUCCAUGACACGGUGAUUUUGUCAAAUACUUCCUGUAUUUCUAGUUUUUGAAUCAUUUGUUACUGUCCUGUUCCUUGGCAUAUGGUUAUCUAUGUGUUCCACGGUGUGUUAUUCAUAGUACCCUCUUGGUAGACACCAGGCGAUAUUCUCAAUACUUUAACCCGUUUUGUGAGUGGGAAGUCCACUCCCA